This is a long non-coding RNA of Miniopterus natalensis, 874 nucleotides long. RefSeq lists it as uncharacterized. NCBI's taxonomy places the organism in Eukaryota, Metazoa, Chordata, Mammalia, Chiroptera, Miniopteridae. The record is from RefSeq and is a predicted model, not a curated record.
GCCACCGCCCCCUUGCGGGUGUCUGGGUAAAUCAUCCUGGCCUCUGCGCUGCAGAUGUGGGGACUGCCUUCCCGUGGGCGUGGGGACUGCUCUUUCCCGUGGACGUGGGGGUCUGCUCUUUCCCGUGGACAGCCGUGACUGAGUCAAGUGCCUGCCUGAAGGGUACCGUGACCCGAAUCCACGGGCCGCCGAGAUGUCUCUUUGCGGCCAAGGACUCCCAGUACCCGGGAGACACCUGGGGGGACAUUUGGCUCUAGGAAGUACUGGCCCCAGGGAAGCGGCUCUCAGAGGAACACUUCUUUCUUCUGCCUGCCUGGUUUCUCAAGCGAGUGUCAGAUGGAAAGCGAGGGCAGCAGGGGGGUUAUAUUCAUACAGUUGGAAAGCGACUAUAGAAAAUUCCAUAGAAAACUGGAAUCUCCGAUCUCGAGCAAACUCACAGGCCUCUCAGGGAAGCUUAGGUUGGCUCAGCAUCUCGGCUGUAGAACUUUCCAUUGCUCGUCACAAUCUUGGUUCUGAGCCAAAGGUUAAAAACUCAACUGAGAGUACCUUUCAUAUGGUCCGGAGUGUUCAAUCUGAAUUAAUUGAUCAUGUCCAUCGGGAAAAGUUAUCUUACACCAACCUAAGCUGAGACCUUGAUUUACCUUAAGAAGCACAGAGGAAAGGUUGCUUAGGUGAGUGGAAGACAGCACAGGAUGAGAAUACAGCAGCAGUAAGGAGGCUGAUGGUCAUCAUGCCAGUGCUGGCAGCAAGGGCAAACUGACAGCUCAGACUAAGCGGCAGCAAGCAACAUUAUAUAAAGAUCACAUUUCCCGUAUACAUUCACAAUUAUUUGGAAACAGCUAUAUACCACAAAUCUUCAGAUGAGACCUCAUUG